AGUCUCGGCCAGAACACAGGCCCAGCAGGAUCAUCGCACACGCACACGAGGAGUGCGCGCGGAGUGCGUGGAUCGAACGGGCCGACACGACGCCUCACGCGCCGGAUCGCCGGGCGAGUGCCAGGCACUCACGGUGUUGCGGUGUAAGGUGCACUCUCCCCGCCGCCCCCGUUCCGCGCGCACGAGGACGCUCGCGCGAGCGAAGAAGGCGCCCGACGAUCCCAAGUUACUCGAUUUUUUCAAUUUGCUUUUGAAUGUGCGCGGAAUUUUUAUUUUUUCUUUUUCGCUCUUGUUGAAGAUCCGACUGUGCGGACAACCGCGAAGAUCGAGGGGGGGAAAGACACUCGAGGAGGAAGACGACGCCGAAGAGUAACCCGCGGACAACACCGCAGAGACUGUGUUGCACCAGCUCUUAGUUUCAGGUUAGGAGCCUGCUAGGACGGGUCUCGUUCUCUCUUCUUGGGGUCAUCCGGACGAGAGCGGACGAAAGGGUACGCAACCCGGGUGCGUCAGUGGUACCACGAGGAAGGAGAAGACGACAGAAAAGGGGAGGAUACUGAAGGAUGCAGCUGUCUCUUAUCGCUCUGCCCUUCGACAAGAGGAGGUGUUGGACAUGACGUCCGGCUUGCUAUCAGGUGGAUGUCGAUGAGGCUCAAGAGACUCUGCUGGAGAACGGAUUACGAGGGAAACGGAUUUUCGACUCGCGUGGCGUAUCGAUCAAGUGUUGCACUGAGUGUCACCAAAGUGCUCCGAAUCCCGAAGUGAUCUUCCUCGUGACUGGUGACGAGACUCCGUGUUCGUGUCAUCGUGAUUGGUUUUCUUCUUUUUGUGUGGUCGAUUAUACACCUCAAGUGCGUGAGUGUCGCGGACUUGGUCCUUGUUAGCGACGAGUGAGAAACAUUGCCCUCGUACCGUGAUGCGUGCCGUGUGAUGCGGCAGCGGGUAGACGUCUGCACGCAUUAUCGUUACGUGAACGAGGAGGGCAACGGCGACGCGGAGCUCGACGUCAAGAUCGGCGGACUGUCUGCGCGAGAUUUCGCAAUCGUGAUGAGUCCGCGGAUGGUCCGGCCCAGGAGCACCGCGACCCUUUAAUAGUGCUGACUGAUGACACGGUGACGAAUGAUCCGGAUCACCACGAUCCGUCGAUCGAGGAAGAUCGAGACGACGUUCAGCACAGUGGUGAUGAUGCCGUGGUACCGAGCACGUUUUCGACCAACGUGAGACCACCUGGCCCUGAUCCGUCAGAGUUCCCAGAGUGUCGUCAGAGUGUCGCUCCAGUUUGAUUCGGCGUUGCUUGGACGAAUCGUGACGCGCUACGUUUCAGCGCAGAUGAUCGGCUCGUGC
Ooceraea biroi (clonal raider ant) is the source of this 1344-nucleotide long non-coding RNA. RefSeq lists it as uncharacterized. NCBI's taxonomy places the organism in Eukaryota, Metazoa, Arthropoda, Insecta, Hymenoptera, Formicidae. The record is from RefSeq and is a predicted model, not a curated record.